UAGUCAGAGAUCUCCCCUCAUUGGUAUGGACGCUCAUUUACCAGAGCACGAUAGAUUUGUCAUGCCGCACUGACAGUCAGUCGGUGAGAGAGACGCUCUCUACGGAAUGAUCAACCCUCUUAGCCGAGAAGCAACCCGUCGCGCCCCCGCGUGGCGGCAGUGAAGGAGUCACCAGAAAAAAAAUCUUCGACUUACUCCGUGCCAGCAGCGGCGGUAAAUAGGGAGGAUGCGAGCGUUCAUCCGGAUUUAUGGUUUAAAGUGCGCAGCCGCCGCGAAAAGUCAGCGGUCAAAGUUCCGGGCUCCACCCCGGUGACGCCGUUGAAACUUUCGUGCUGGAGUUCGUGCGAGGGAGGCGGAAUGCGUUGUGUAGCGGUGAAAUGCAUAGAUAUGACGCAGAACCCCGAUUGCGAAGGCAGCUUUCCAGCACGCGACUGACGCUGAGGCACGAAAGCGUGGGGAGCGAACAGGAUUAGAUACCCUGGUAGUCCACGCGGUAAACGAUGAAUACUAGCCCUGCGGCGCGAAUGAGUGCUGCGGGGCAGAGUGAAAACGUUAAGUAUUCCACCUGGGGAGUACGCCGGCAACGGUGAAACUCAAAGGAAUUGACGGGGGCCCGCACAAGCGGAGGAACAUGUGGUUUAAUUCGAUGAUACGCGAGGAACCUUACCCGGGCUCAAACGGCGGGAGACGCGUCCGGAAACGGGCGUUCCCUUCGGGGCUGCCGCCGAGGUGCUGCAUGGUUGUCGUCAGCUCGUGCCGUGAGGUGUCGGCUUAAGUGCCAUAACGAGCGCAACCCCCAUCUUCAGUUGCCAGCGGGCAAAGCCGGGCACUCUGGAGAGACUGCCAGCGCAAGCUGUGAGGAAGGCGGGGAUGACGUCAAAUCAGCACGGCCCUUACGUCCGGGGCGACACACGUGUUACAAUGGCAGGGUCACAGAGGGAAGCCAGGCGGCGACGCCGAGCCGAUCCCGAAAACCUGUCUCAGUUCGGAUCGGAGUCUGCAACCCGACUCCGUGAAGCUGGAUUCGCUAGUAAUCGCGCAUCAGCCAUGGCGCGGUGAAUACGUUCCCGGGCCUUGUACACACCGCCCGUCAAGCCAUGGAAGCCUGGAGUGCCUGAAGUUCGUGACCGCGAGGAGCGACCAAGGGUAAGACAGGUAACUGGGGCUAAGUCGUAACAAGGUAAAUCACUGCCGUCGUAACUCC
This 1204-nucleotide ribosomal RNA is filed under the name uncultured bacterium. RNAcentral describes it as "partial 16S ribosomal RNA". It matches the Rfam family "Bacterial small subunit ribosomal RNA". The record is from RNAcentral.